AAGUCGAGCGGAACGACUUAACUGAACCUUCGGGGGANGUUAAGGGCGUCGAGCGGCGGACGGGUGAGUAAUGCCUGGGAAUAUGCCCUGAUGUGGGGGAUAACUAUUGGAAACGAUAGCUAAUACCGCAUAAUCUCUUCGGAGCAAAGAGGGGGACCUUCGGGCCUCUCGCGUCAGGAUUAGCCCAGGUGGGAUUAGCUAGUUGGUGAGGUAAUGGCUCACCAAGGCGACGAUCCCUAGCUGGUUUGAGAGGAUGAUCAGCCACACUGGAACUGAGACACGGUCCAGACUCCUACGGGAGGCAGCAGUGGGGAAUAUUGCACAAUGGGGGAAACCCUGAUGCAGCCAUGCCGCGUGUGUGAAGAAGGCCUUCGGGUUGUAAAGCACUUUCAGUCGUGAGGAAGGCAUUGUAGUUAAUAGCUACAUUGUUUGACGUUAGCGACAGAAGAAGCACCGGCUAACUCCGUGCCAGCAGCCGCGGUAAUACGGAGGGUGCGAGCGUUAAUCGGAAUUACUGGGCGUAAAGCGCAUGCAGGCGGUUAGUUAAGCAAGAUGUGAAAGCCCGGGGCUUAACCUCGGAACAGCAUUUUGAACUGGCUAACUAGAGUCUUGUAGAGGGGGGUAGAAUUUCAGGUGUAGCGGUGAAAUGCGUAGAGAUCUGAAGGAAUACCGGUGGCGAAGGCGGCCCCCUGGACAAAGACUGACGCUCAGAUGCGAAAGCGUGGGGAGCAAACAGGAUUAGAUGCCCUGGUAGUCCACGCCGUAAACGAUGUCUACUUGGAGGUUGUGGCCUUGAGCCGUG
Molecule: ribosomal RNA, 802 nt
Filed under: uncultured bacterium
Lineage: Bacteria
Description: bacterial SSU rRNA
Rfam family: Bacterial small subunit ribosomal RNA
Source: RNAcentral